This 266-nucleotide ribosomal RNA is filed under the name uncultured archaeon. RNAcentral describes it as "partial 16S ribosomal RNA". It matches the Rfam family "Archaeal small subunit ribosomal RNA", at positions 718 to 982 of the family's 1478-position model. The record is from RNAcentral.
AGUCACUGACAUUAGAUACCCCUGUAGUCCUAGCCGUAAACGAUACUCGCUAGGUGUCGGCCACGGUGCGACCGUUGUCGGUGCCGUAGGGAAGCCGUGAAGCGAGCCACCUGGGAAGUACGGCCGCAAGGGCUGAAACUUAAAGGAAUUGGCGGGGGAGCACAACAACGGGUGGAGCUUGCGGUUUAAUUGGAUUCAACGCCGGAAAUCUUACCGGGACCGACAGCGACAUGAAGGCCAGGCUGAAGACUUUGCCGGAUUAGCUG